CGAAAGAUUAUUUGGCUUUACGAAAGGAAUGGAACUUUAUCUUAGAAAAGGAAGACAUCAAGAAGCGCCAGCAAGCCAAGUUAUUUUCGCUUCAGGGAGUUGAUGUUAAUUCUAAGUACUUUCUUGCGUAUGUGAAGGGAAUAUGGCCUUUGUUUAUGCUAGUCCUAUUGUCCACCUUCAUCAUCUUCUCUAAUCUGAAUUGGUGAAUCUUGGAAUAUGGCCUUUGUUUAUGCUAGUCCAAUUGUCCACCUUCAUCAUCUUCUCUAAUCUGAAUUGGUGAAUCUUGGAAUAGGGCCUUUGUUUAUGCUAGUCCAAUUGUCCACCUUCAUCAUCUUCUCUAAUCUGAG
RNAcentral lists this long non-coding RNA (347 nucleotides) under Jatropha curcas. RNAcentral describes it as "long non-coding RNA (JCUR_LNC001622)". The record is from RNAcentral. Lineage: Eukaryota; Viridiplantae; Streptophyta; Magnoliopsida; Malpighiales; Euphorbiaceae.